RNAcentral lists this ribosomal RNA (502 nucleotides) under uncultured bacterium. RNAcentral's name for it is "partial 16S ribosomal RNA". It matches the Rfam family "Bacterial small subunit ribosomal RNA", at positions 28 to 507 of the family's 1533-position model. The record is from RNAcentral.
GACGAACGCUGGCGGCGUGCUUAACACAUGCAAGUCGAACGGUGAAGGGGUCUGCUUUUGUGGGCCCUGGAUGAGUGGCGAACGGGUGAGUAACACGUGAGUAACCUGCCCCCUUCUUCUGGAUAACCGCAUGAAAGUGUGGCUAAUACGGGAUAUUCUGGGUCUGUCGCAUGAUGGGUCUGGGAAAGAUUGCGCCUUUGGGUGUUUUUGGUGGGGGAUGGGCUCGCGGCCUAUCAGCUUGUUGGUGGGGUGAUGGCCUACCAAGGCGGUGACGGGGAGCCGGCCGGAGAGGGGGGACGGUCACACUGGGACUGGGAAACGGCCCAGACUCCUACGGGAGGCAGCAGUGGGGAAUAUUGCACAAUGGGCGCAAGCCUGAUGCAGCGACGCCGCGUGAGGGAGGGAGGCCUUCGGGUUGUAAACCUCUUUCGCCAGUGAAGCAGGCCUGCUCCUUGUGGGUGGGUUGACGGUAGCUGGAUAAGAAGCGCCGGCUAACUACGUG